UGUGCACCAGUGGGGUCCCUCGGCCUGGCCUGCGGGAUUGGGUUGAAACCAGCUCUCCGACAACCCCCAAGUGGUACCAGAUUUCAAGAGGGUGCAGGCCAGGCCGAGGGACCCUACUGGUGCACA
Molecule: non-coding RNA, 126 nt
Organism: Myotis davidii
Lineage: Eukaryota; Metazoa; Chordata; Mammalia; Chiroptera; Vespertilionidae
Source: Rfam